ACUUUAUUAGUUUAUAAAAAAUAUUAUCUUGAAGAGGUAAAGAAUUUUAGAGUG
RNAcentral lists this transfer RNA (54 nucleotides) under Aphelenchoides besseyi. RNAcentral describes it as "tRNA-Phe". Lineage: Eukaryota; Metazoa; Nematoda; Chromadorea; Rhabditida; Aphelenchoididae. The record is from RNAcentral.